GCCCACCUAGCUCAGUCGGUAGAGCACGUCCUUGGUAAGGACGAGGUCUCGGGUUCGAGCCCCGAGGUGGGCU
Molecule: transfer RNA, 73 nt
Filed under: Chloroflexota bacterium
Lineage: Bacteria; Bacillati; Chloroflexota
Description: tRNA-Thr
Rfam family: tRNA
About the family: Transfer RNA (tRNA) molecules are approximately 80 nucleotides in length. Their secondary structure includes four short double-helical elements and three loops (D, anti-codon, and T loops). Further hydrogen bonds mediate the characteristic L-shaped molecular structure. tRNAs have two regions of fundamental functional importance: the anti-codon, which is responsible for specific mRNA codon recognition, and the 3' end, to which the tRNAs corresponding amino acid is attached (by aminoacyl-tRNA synthetases). tRNAs cope with the degeneracy of the genetic code in two manners: having more than one tRNA (with a specific anti-codon) for a particular amino acid; and 'wobble' base-pairing, i.e. permitting non-standard base-pairing at the 3rd anti-codon position.
Source: RNAcentral